Molecule: transfer RNA, 67 nt
Filed under: human gut metagenome
Rfam family: tRNA
About the family: Transfer RNA (tRNA) molecules are approximately 80 nucleotides in length.
Source: RNAcentral
GAGUGUAGCUCAGUUGGUUAGAGCGCCGGAUUGUGGAUCCGGAUGUCGUGAGUUCAAGUCUCAUCUC